UGUUAAAAAAAAUUCAUCGAUUUCUACUAUUAAAAACUAGCUUGGCUAACAUAACAAUGAAACGGUUGCACAUUGUAUGCUACAUGUACCUCAUUUUUCAUACAAGGACCAAUUUUUAAAAAUAGAAAUGAAUGAAUUUUUUAACA
Non-coding RNA from Gossypium hirsutum (cotton), 146 nucleotides. The record is from Rfam. NCBI's taxonomy places the organism in Eukaryota, Viridiplantae, Streptophyta, Magnoliopsida, Malvales, Malvaceae.